GGGUCUGGCCAUUGGUCGGGCUUUACGGUCCGUACUGGUGAGAUGGGUUCCUACCUUCUGAAUAACCGGCAUGCCAUGCAGGUGGUGCGCCGGGGAAGCAGAGCUAUUACCUUGAAAAAAUUAGAGUGCUUAAAGCAGGCUAUUGCUUGAAUAGAUUAGCAUGGAAUAAUAAAAUAGGACGGCAUGGUUCUAUUUUGUUGGUUUCUAGGAUCACCGUA
RNAcentral lists this ribosomal RNA (218 nucleotides) under Glomeromycotina sp. RNAcentral describes it as "partial small subunit ribosomal RNA". The stretch from base 93 to 218 matches the Rfam family "Eukaryotic small subunit ribosomal RNA", at positions 738 to 864 of the family's 1831-position model. The record is from RNAcentral. Lineage: Eukaryota; Fungi; Glomeromycota.